CCUACGGGGGGCAGCAGUGGGGAAUAUUGCACAAUGGGGGAAACCCUGAUGCAGCGACGCCGCGUGAGUGAAGAAGUAUUUCGGUAUGUAAAGCUCUAUCAGCAGGGAAGAAAAUGACGGUACCUGAUUAAGAAGCCCCGGCUAACUACGUGCCAGCAGCCGCGGUAAUACGUAGGGGGCAAGCGUUAACCGGAUUUACUGGGUGUAAAGGGAGCGUAGACGGGAGCACAAGUCUGGAGUGAAAUGCCGGGGCUUAACCCCGGAACUGCUUUGGAAACUGGGCAGCUAGAGUGCGGGAGAGGUAAGUGGAAUGCCUGGUGUAGCGGUGAAAUGCGUAGAUAUUAGGAGGAACACCAGUGGCGAAGGCGGCUUACUGGACUGUAACUGACGUUGAGGCACGAAAGCGUGGGGAGCGAACAGGAUUAGAUACCCUUGUAGUC
Molecule: ribosomal RNA, 440 nt
Filed under: uncultured bacterium
Lineage: Bacteria
Description: partial 16S ribosomal RNA
Rfam family: Bacterial small subunit ribosomal RNA
Source: RNAcentral